This 305-nucleotide ribosomal RNA is filed under the name uncultured bacterium. RNAcentral describes it as "bacterial SSU rRNA". It matches the Rfam family "Bacterial small subunit ribosomal RNA", at positions 335 to 638 of the family's 1533-position model. The record is from RNAcentral.
UGCCUACGGGAGGCAGCAGUGAGGAAUAUUGGUCAAUGGACGAGAGUCUGAACCAGCCAAGUAGCGUGAAGGAUGACUGCCCUAUGGGUUGUAAACUUCUUUUAUAAAGGAAUAAAACGAGGCACGUGUGCCUUUUUGCAUGUACUUUAUGAAUAAGCUCCGGCUAACUACGUGCCAGCAGCCGCGGUAAUACGUAGGGAGCAAGCGUUAUCCGGAUUUACUGGGUGUAAAGGGCGUGUAGGCGGGCUUGUAAGUCAGAAGUGAAAUCUGGGGGCUUAACCCCCAAACUGCUUUUGAAACUGCGG